RNAcentral lists this long non-coding RNA (323 nucleotides) under Bos taurus (domestic cattle). RNAcentral describes it as "long non-coding RNA NONBTAT020052". The record is from RNAcentral. Lineage: Eukaryota; Metazoa; Chordata; Mammalia; Artiodactyla; Bovidae.
AGGAGUAGGUCAUGAUAGAAUGGUUUAAGGCUUUUUGAAGUAAAGAAAAUGCAUUAGGAAAAAAUGAAUACAGUUCAUACUAUGUAGAGCUAAAUAAGCCUUCCUUCCUGAUAAAACAAGUUUUGCUUAAAAUAGACACUAUUAAACACAACCUGUGGAAAAUAAAGUGUUCCUUUUCCUCUCCCUUAGGGAAGCUUUGAACAAUCUAAUACAUUUUCAAAGACUAACUGCCAACUGCCCACACCAUCCCAGUUGCUGACCCCCCACAGUAAACUGUCAUCAACUUAGUAAAUAAGUAAGUGCUUAAUAAAACAGUAAUUGGG